UGCAUCGGCCGGGAAUCGAACCCGGGCCGCCCGCGUGGCAGGCGAGGCAUUCUUACCACUGAACCACCGAUCC
Cordylochernes scorpioides is the source of this 73-nucleotide non-coding RNA. Lineage: Eukaryota; Metazoa; Arthropoda; Arachnida; Pseudoscorpiones; Chernetidae. The record is from the annotation of a GenBank genome assembly.